This 330-nucleotide ribosomal RNA is filed under the name uncultured eukaryote. RNAcentral's name for it is "partial 18S ribosomal RNA". It matches the Rfam family "Eukaryotic small subunit ribosomal RNA", at positions 1470 to 1796 of the family's 1831-position model. The record is from RNAcentral.
CCCUUAGAUGUUCUGGGCCGCACGCGCGCUACACUGAUGAAUUCAACGAGCUCCUAACCUAGGCCGAAGGGUCCGGGUAAUCUUUGAAAUUUCAUCGUGAUGGGGAUAGAUUAUUGCAAUUAUUAAUCUUCAACGAGGAAUUCCUAGUAAGCGCGAGUCAUCAGCUCGCGUUGAUUACGUCCCUGCCCUUUGUACACACCGCCCGUCGUUCCUACCGAUUGAAUGGUCCGGUGAAAUGUUCGGAUCGCGGCAAAUCGGACGGGUAACCGUCAGGUUCGCUGCGAGAAGUUCAUUAAACCUUAUCAUUUAGAGGAAGGAGAAGUCGUAACA